UUUUAUUAGUUUUUUUUUUUCGGGCAGUCAGAUUGAAGCGAAACUGAUGAACGGGAUGCAUUACACAUGCAAGUCGAACGGCAGCACGGACUUCGGUGUGGUGGCGAGUGGCGAACGGGUGAGUAAUGUAUCGGAACGUGCCUAGUAGCGGGGGAUAACUACGCGAAAGCGUAGCUUAAUACUGCAUACGCCCUUCGGGGGAAAGCAGGGGAUCGCAAGACCUUGCACUAUUAGAGCGGCCGAUAUCGGAUUAGCUAGUUGGUGGGGUAACGGCUCACCAAGGCGACGAUCUGUAGCUGGUUUGAGAGGACGACCAGCCACACUGGGAGUGAGACACGGCCCAGACUCCUACGGGAGGCAGCAGUGGGGAAUUUUGGACAAUGGGGGAAACCCUGAUCCAGCCAUCCCGCGUGUGCGAUGAAGGCCUUCGGGUUGUAAAGCACUUUUGGCAGGAAAGAAACGUCCCGGGUUAAUACCCUGGGAAACUGACGGUACCUGCAGAAUAAGCACCGGCUAACUACGUGCCAGCAGCCGCGGUAAUACGUAGGGUGCAAGCGUUAAUCGGAAUUACUGGGCGUAAAGCGUGCGCAGGCGGUUCGGAAAGAAAGAUGUGAAAUCCCAGAGCUUAACUUUGGAACUGCAUUUUUAACUACCGAGCUAGAGUGUGUCAGAGGGAGGUGGAAUUCCGCGUGUAGCAGUGAAAUGCGUAGAUAUGCGGAGGAACACCGAUGGCGAAGGCAGCUUCCUGGGAUAACACUGACGCUCAUGCACGAAAGCGUGGGGAGCAAACAGGAUUAGAUACCCUGGUAGUCCACGCCCUAAACGAUGUCAACUAGCUGUUGGGGCCUUCGGGCCUUGGUAGCGCAGCUAACGCGUGAAGUUGACCGCCUGGGGAGUACGGUCGCAAGAUCUAAAAUCAGAGUGGU
This 926-nucleotide ribosomal RNA is filed under the name Alcaligenes faecalis. Its description in RNAcentral is "bacterial SSU rRNA". It matches the Rfam family "Bacterial small subunit ribosomal RNA", at positions 1 to 910 of the family's 1533-position model. Lineage: Bacteria; Pseudomonadati; Pseudomonadota; Betaproteobacteria; Burkholderiales; Alcaligenaceae. The record is from RNAcentral.